AGCGUGGAGACAGGUGGUGCAUGGCUGUCGUCAGCUCGUGUCGUGAGAUGUUGGGUUAAGUCCCGCAACGAGCGCAGCCCUCACCCCUUGUUGCUACCAGGUAAAGCUGGGCACUCUAGGGGAACUGCCCCGGUCAACGGGGAGGAAGGCGGGGAUGACGUCAAGUCAUCAUGCCCCUUACGUCCUGGGCUACACACGUGCUACAAUGGCCGGUACAAAGGGAUGCCACACCGCGAGGUAGAGCUAAACCCAAAAAGCCGGUCUAAGUUCAGAUUGGAGUCUGCAACUCGACUCCAUGAAGGAGGAAUCGCUAGUAAUCGCGUAUCAGCACGACGCGGUGAAUACGUUCCCGGGCCUUGUACACACCGCCCGUCACACCACGAAAGCCAGCUGUACUCGAAGUCGCUGAG
Molecule: ribosomal RNA, 410 nt
Filed under: uncultured Methylomirabilota bacterium
Lineage: Bacteria; Methylomirabilota (SeqCode)
Description: bacterial SSU rRNA
Rfam family: Bacterial small subunit ribosomal RNA
Source: RNAcentral